UGGGGAAUUUUGGACAAUGGGCGAAAGCCUGAUCCAGCCAUGCCGCGUGAGUGAAGAAGGCCUUCGGGUUGUAAAGCUCUUUCAGCCGGGAAGAAAAUGUACGGGCCAAUACCCCGUGCAGAUGACGGUACCGGAAGAAGAAGCACCGGCUAACUACGUGCCAGCAGCCGCGGUAAUACGUAGGGUGCAAGCGUUAAUCGGAAUUACUGGGCGUAAAGCGUGCGCAGGCGGUGAUGUAAGACAGUUGUGAAAUCCCCGGGCUCAACCUGGGAACUGCAUCUGUGACUGCAUUGCUGGAGUGCGGCAGAGGGGGAUGGAAUUCCGCGUGUAGCAGUGAAAUGCGUAGAUAUGCGGAGGAACACCGAUGGCGAAGGCAAUCCCCUGGGCCUGCACUGACGCUCAUGCACGAAAGCGUGGGGAGCAAA
RNAcentral lists this ribosomal RNA (425 nucleotides) under uncultured bacterium. RNAcentral describes it as "bacterial SSU rRNA". It matches the Rfam family "Bacterial small subunit ribosomal RNA", at positions 355 to 772 of the family's 1533-position model. The record is from RNAcentral.